UACGUAGGGUGCAAGCGUUAAUCGGAAUUACUGGGCGUAAAGCGUGCGCAGGCGGUUGUGCAAGACAGAUGUGAAAUCCCCGGGCUCAACCUGGGAAUUGCAUUUGUGACUGCACGGCUAGAGUGUGUCAGAGGGGGGUAGAAUUCCACGUGUAGCAGUGAAAUGCGUAGAGAUGUGGAGGAAUACCGAUGGCGAAGGCAGCCCCCUGGGAUAACACUGACGCCUCAUGCACGAAAGCGUGGGGAGCAAACAGG
Molecule: ribosomal RNA, 254 nt
Filed under: uncultured bacterium
Lineage: Bacteria
Description: partial 16S ribosomal RNA
Rfam family: Bacterial small subunit ribosomal RNA
Source: RNAcentral